This 665-nucleotide long non-coding RNA is filed under the name Lotus japonicus. RNAcentral describes it as "long non-coding RNA (LJAP_LNC000945)". Lineage: Eukaryota; Viridiplantae; Streptophyta; Magnoliopsida; Fabales; Fabaceae. The record is from RNAcentral.
UGGGAAGUAGGAUAGUAAUCACAACCAGGAACUUGGAGGUUGCAUAUUAUUGUAAGAAAUCAUCUCUUGUUCGCGUGCACAAGUUGCAACCCUUGCCUUCAAAUAAAGCAUGGGAACUCUUCUGCAAGAAGGCGUUUCAGUUUGAUCUCAAUGGAAAUUGUCCACCAGAGCUAGAAGAGAUGUCUAGUGAAAUUGCUAAAAAAUGUGAGGGGUUACCACUUGCAAUUGUGGCCAUUGGGGGUCUUUUGUCAACCAAAGACAAAACUGUGUUUGAAUGGAAAAGACUAUGCCAAAACCUUAACUUUGAGCUGAGGACAACAUGGGAAGUAGGAUAGUAAUCACAACCAGGAACUUGGAGGUUGCAUAUUAUUGUAAGAAAUCAUCUCUUGUUCGCGUGCACAAGUUGCAACCCUUGCCUUCAAAUAAAGCAUGGGAACUCUUCUGCAAGAAGGCGUUUCAGUUUGAUCUCAAUGGAAAUUGUCCACCAGAGCUAGAAGAGAUGUCUAGUGAAAUUGCUAAAAAAUGUGAGGGGUUACCACUUGCAAUUGUGGCCAUUGGGGGUCUUUUGUCAACCAAAGACAAAACUGUGUUUGAAUGGAAAAGACUAUGCCAAAACCUUAACUUUGAGCUGAGGAGAAAUCCCCAUUUAACUAGUUUGACAAGAA